GUCACAGUCAGUGUCAAGUGACAAAAUGAUCUUAUUAGUGUGACUCUUAGUUGUAGGUUGUGUUGCGGAGAGUGAUGGAAUGACGAUUGACUGAUACGUUGACCCCUUGGAGAUACUUGCACAUUGACACUGACACAAGCCAUCAGUAUCUAAGGGAACCAUGGGCGUUGUGAUGGUGAACAGUGACAAGCUGACUCGCACCAAGGAUGAGUGGGACUGCCGCAUUGACCCUGGCACCCGUGGAAAGGAUCUGGUGGUGCAGGUGCGUGGGAGAGGCGCUGGGAGGAGGAACUGGGUUGAAAGAACACGUGGAAGUGAUAGGAGAUAUUAUGUUAGACUGGGAAAGGGAGAGUAAGGAUGUAAAAUAAAGUGAUAGGGAGUGUAUUAAACUGA
RNAcentral lists this unclassified non-coding RNA (393 nucleotides) under Portunus trituberculatus (swimming crab). RNAcentral describes it as "uncharacterized LOC123501630, transcript variant X1". The record is from RNAcentral. Lineage: Eukaryota; Metazoa; Arthropoda; Malacostraca; Decapoda; Portunidae.